CCCAAGAAUAACAUCUGCUACA
Molecule: non-coding RNA, 22 nt
Filed under: Gossypium hirsutum (cotton)
Lineage: Eukaryota; Viridiplantae; Streptophyta; Magnoliopsida; Malvales; Malvaceae
Source: RNAcentral